Molecule: ribosomal RNA, 206 nt
Filed under: uncultured bacterium
Lineage: Bacteria
Description: partial 16S ribosomal RNA
Rfam family: Bacterial small subunit ribosomal RNA
Source: RNAcentral
CUCAGUUCGGAUUGGAGUCUGCAACCCGACUCCAUGAAGCUGGAUUCGCUAGUAAUCGCGCAUCAGCCACGGCGCGGUGAAUACGUUCCCGGGCCUUGUACACACCGCCCGUCAAGCCAUGAAAGCCGGGGGUACCUGAAGUGCGUAACCGCGAGGAGCGCCCUAGGGUAAAACUGGUGAUUGGGGCUAAGUCGUAACAAGGUACC